CGAGAGAGCCUAAUCCAGCCGCCCAGGCGCCUGCGGUUGCCCCGCGAGACACGUAUGAAGCCCUACUGGGUCCCAGGGACUGCUCUAGGUACCGAUGAAACAACAGUGAACAAAACAGACAAAAAUCCCGUCCUUCUUACAUUCUGUGGUGGGGAGACAGAGGAUCGACCAAAAAAGGCCCCAACCCUUCGCGGGGAACACGUGUUGUUAUGGUAACGGCAGAAGAGGUCCCUGAGAAACUGCUCUGUUGUUCGACUUGAAGAGUUGCCGAAGCUUCUUUCAUGGUCCCCACAUCAGGAGCGAGCGUCUUACCCUGGGGACAGUUUCUUGCUUGGUAGCACUAGCUGCUCUGUCUAGUUGUUACCUGAUAACGACCAGGUGUCAUACAUGUACAGUCACUUUGCAAGCAUGUGACAUCGCCCAGUCAGGAGGUGCGUGAGGAAUCACCUCAAGGUCUCAGAAGGACUGGGUGAGACGUGCUUCAUCAGAUUCAACCAUGGUGGGCAAAUGGCGGUGUCUGAUACGUCUUCCCUUUCCUGAAAUGGUGGUCUUUCCCACAGUCCUGUCCCUGACUCUCUUGUCUCCCUGGGAUCACACACUUGGGCUACACUCUUACACUUCUUAAUUUUUUUUAAAUGUUUAUUUAUUUUUGAGAGAGAGAGAGAGAGAGAGAGAGAGAGAGCAAGUGA
Suricata suricatta (meerkat) is the source of this 689-nucleotide long non-coding RNA. RefSeq lists it as uncharacterized. The transcript has 3 exons. Lineage: Eukaryota; Metazoa; Chordata; Mammalia; Carnivora; Herpestidae. The record is from RefSeq and is a predicted model, not a curated record.